ACAGGGAUUGCCCUAGUAACGGCGAGUGAAGCGGCAACAGCUCAAAUUUGAAAUCUGGCCCUCGUGGUCCGAGUUGUAAUUUGUAGAGGAGCUUUUGGUUAGGUGCCUUCCGAGUGCCCUGGAACGGGCCGCCAUAGAGGGUGAGAGCCCCGUCUGGUUGGACACCGAGCCUCUGUAAAGCUCCUUCGACGAGUCGAGUAGUUUGGGAAUGCUGCUCUAAAUGGGAGGUAUAUGUCUUCUAAAGCUAAAUAUUGGCCAGAGACCGAUAGCGCACAAGUAGAGUGAUCGAAAGAUGAAAAGCACUUUGAAAAGAGGGUUAAAAAGUACGUGAAAUUGUUGAAAGGGAAGCGCUUGUGACCAGACUUGGGCCCGGUCAAUCAUCCAGGGUUCUCCCUGGUGCACUUGGCCGGCCCAGGCCAGCAUCAGUUCGUCGCGGGGGAUAAAGGCGUUGGGAAUGUGGCUCCCCCGGGAGUGUUAUAGCCCUUCGUGCAAUACCCUGCUUUGGACUGAGGUUCGCGCAUCUUGCAAGGAUGCUGGCGUAAUGGUCAUCAGCGACCCGUCUUGAAACACGGACCAAGGAGUCGUCUUCGUAUGCGAGUGUUCGGGUAUCAAACCCCUACGCGUAAUGAAAGUGAACGCAGGUGAGAGCUUCGGCGCAUCAUCGACCGAUCCUGAUGUUCUCGGAUGGAUUUGAGUAAGAGCAUACGGGGCCGGACCCGAAAGAAGGUGAACUAUGCCUGUAUAGGGUGAAGCCAGAGGAAACUCUGGUGGAGGCUCGCAGCGGUUCUGACGUGCAAAUCGAUCGUCAAAUAUGGGCAUGGGGGCGAAAGACUAAUCGAACCUCUAGAGC
RNAcentral lists this ribosomal RNA (850 nucleotides) under Nectria pseudotrichia. RNAcentral describes it as "eukaryotic LSU rRNA". It matches the Rfam family "Eukaryotic large subunit ribosomal RNA", at positions 68 to 951 of the family's 3401-position model. The record is from RNAcentral. Lineage: Eukaryota; Fungi; Ascomycota; Sordariomycetes; Hypocreales; Nectriaceae.